ACCGAGAUACUGCUUGUGAUAUCUGGAAAACAAUUGAAAUCAACAGGAACAUGAAGUUUUCUGUUGAAGAACUGAAAAGACAAGACCCUUUCAUGGUGUCCUUUAGAAAAGGCUCAUCUGAAAAGUGGAGGUCAAGAAAUUUGAAGACAGCACUUAUAAUGAUGACGAGAGUGCAUUUGCUGUCAUACCACAGGCUGGAGGACUUGAGCAGACUGCUGAAAAUGAAGCAUUUGGGUUACCCUCGGGCAGUUCAGCUACCUUAAAAAGGAAACUUAAUGAGACAGAGGACUGCAAAUUGAAAAUGAAUCAGGCAUUUUCUUUACUUACAAGUAGUGGCAGAAAGACCCUAAAAGGAAAAGGAG
Molecule: long non-coding RNA, 362 nt
Organism: Schistocerca piceifrons (Central American locust)
Lineage: Eukaryota; Metazoa; Arthropoda; Insecta; Orthoptera; Acrididae
Exons: 3
Source: RefSeq, a predicted model, not a curated record